Molecule: ribosomal RNA, 236 nt
Filed under: uncultured Actinomycetales bacterium
Lineage: Bacteria; Bacillati; Actinomycetota; Actinomycetes; Actinomycetales
Description: partial 16S ribosomal RNA
Rfam family: Bacterial small subunit ribosomal RNA
Source: RNAcentral
GGCGAACGGGUGAGUAACACGUGAGUAACCUGCCCUUGACUUUGGGAUAACUUCAGGAAACUGGAGCUAAUACCGGAUAGGAGCUCCUGCUGCAUGGUGGGGGUUGGAAAGUUUCGGCGGUUGGGGAUGGACUCGCGGCUUAUCGGCUUGUUGGUGGGGUAGUGGCUUACCAAGGCUUUGACGGGUAGCCGGCCUGAGAGGGUGACCGGCCACAUUGGGACUGAGAUACGGCCCAG